GGCGGGGUAGCUCAGUUGGUAGAGCAUGGGACUCAUAAGCCCAGGGUCGGGAGUUCGAUCCUCCCCCCCGCCA
This 73-nucleotide transfer RNA is filed under the name Omnitrophica bacterium RIFCSPLOWO2_01_FULL_50_24. RNAcentral describes it as "tRNA-Met". It matches the Rfam family "tRNA". From Rfam's summary of the family: Transfer RNA (tRNA) molecules are approximately 80 nucleotides in length. The record is from RNAcentral. Lineage: Bacteria; Pseudomonadati; Candidatus Omnitrophota.